This 253-nucleotide ribosomal RNA is filed under the name uncultured bacterium. RNAcentral describes it as "partial 16S ribosomal RNA". It matches the Rfam family "Bacterial small subunit ribosomal RNA", at positions 524 to 776 of the family's 1533-position model. The record is from RNAcentral.
UACGUAGGGUCCAAGCGUUAUCCGGAAUCACUGGGCGUAAAGCGUGCGCAGGCGGCUUUGCAAGACAGAUGUGAAAUCCCCGGGCUUAACCUGGGAACUGCAUUUGUGACUGCAUGGCUGGAGUGCGGCAGAGGGGGAUGGAAUUCCGCGUGUAGCAGUGAAAUGCGUAGAUAUGCGGAGGAACACCGAUGGCGAAGGCAAUCCCCUGGGCCUGCACUGACGCUCAUGCACGAAAGCGUGGGGAGCAAACAGG